This 440-nucleotide ribosomal RNA is filed under the name Rhodococcus sp. (in: high G+C Gram-positive bacteria). RNAcentral describes it as "bacterial SSU rRNA". It matches the Rfam family "Bacterial small subunit ribosomal RNA", at positions 22 to 478 of the family's 1533-position model. The record is from RNAcentral. Lineage: Bacteria; Bacillati; Actinomycetota; Actinomycetes; Mycobacteriales; Nocardiaceae.
GCUCAGGACGAACGCUGGCGGCGUGCUUAACACAUGCAAGUCGAGCGGUAAGGCCUUUCGGGGUACACGAGCGGCGAACGGGUGAGUAACACGUGGGUGAUCUGCCCUGCACUCUGGGAUAAGCCUGGGAAACUGGGUCUAAUACCGGAUAUGACCACGGGAUGCAUGUUUUGUGGUGGAAAGCUUUAUGUGGUGCAGGAUGGGCCCGCGGCCUAUCAGCUUGUUGGUGGGGUAAUGGCCUACCAAGGCGACGACGGGUAGCCGACCUGAGAGGGUGACCGGCCACACUGGGACUGAGACACGGCCCAGACUCCUACGGGAGGCAGCAGUGGGGAAUAUUGCACAAUGGGCGAAAGCCUGAUGCAGCGACGCCGCGUGAGGGAUGAAGGCCUUCGGGUUGUAAACCUCUUUCAGCAGGGACGAAGCGCAAGUGACGGUAC